RNAcentral lists this ribosomal RNA (469 nucleotides) under uncultured bacterium. Its description in RNAcentral is "bacterial SSU rRNA". It matches the Rfam family "Bacterial small subunit ribosomal RNA", at positions 30 to 516 of the family's 1533-position model. The record is from RNAcentral.
AUUGAACGCUGGCGGCAUGCCUUACACAUGCAAGUCGAACGGCAGCACGGGAGCAAUCCUGGUGGCGAGUGGCGAACGGGUGAGUAAUAUAUCGGAACGUGCCCAGUCGUGGGGGAUAACGUAGCGAAAGCUACGCUAAUACCGCAUACGAUCUAUGGAUGAAAGCGGGGGAUCGCAAGACCUCGCGCGAUUGGAGCGGCCGAUAUCAGAUUAGGUAGUUGGUGAGGUAAAGGCUCACCAAGCCGACGAUCUGUAGCUGGUCUGAGAGGACGACCAGCCACACUGGGACUGAGACACGGCCCAGACUCCUACGGGAGGCAGCAGUGGGGAAUAUUGGACAAUGGGCGAAAGCCUGAUCCAGCAAUGCCGCGUGAGUGAUGAAGGCCUUAGGGUUGUAAAGGCUCUUUUACCCGAGAUGAUAAUGACAGUAUCGGGAGAAUAAGCUCCGACUAACUCCGUGCCAGCAGCC